UAGUAUUUAUUAGAUAUUAAACCAAUCCUUCGGGUUGUGAUGAUUCAUAAUAACUGAUCGAAGCGAGGAUUUCCUUGCUAAAUCAUUCAAGUUUCUGCCCUAUCAGCUUUAGAUGGUAGUGUAUUGGACUACCAUGGCUAUCACGGGUAACGGAGAAUUAGGGUUCGAUUCCGGAGAGGGAGCCUGAGAAAUGGCUACCACAUCUAAGGAUGGCAGCAGGCGCGAAAAUUGCCCAAUCCCGAUUCGGGGAGGCAGUGACAAGAAAUAACAACCCAGGGGUUUCCCCAGGGAUUGUAAUGAGAAAAAUCUAAAAAACUUAUCGAGCAUCAACUGGAGGGCAAGCUAUGGUGCCAGCAGCCGCGGUAAUUCCAUCUCCAGUAGCGUAUAUUAAAGUUGCUGCAGUUAAAAAGCUCGUAGUUGAAAUUCUGUCCGGUUGAGCGAUUUCCAAAAGGUUUUCGCCUCACCGGGCAUCAGUCUGCAAUCAUUUUCACGACAUUCACUUGUCGGGAUUGGGAGCAGGCGUUUUACCUUGAGAAAAUUAGAGUGUUCCAGGCAGGCUUCAGCCCGAAUACAUUAGCAUGGAAUAAUAGAAUAGGACUAGAGACUAUUUAUUGGUUUAAGGCUUUAGUAAUGAUUAAUAGGAACAGUCGGGGGCAUUAGUACUUGACAGUCAGAGGUGAAAUUCUA
This 687-nucleotide ribosomal RNA is filed under the name uncultured eukaryote. Its description in RNAcentral is "bacterial SSU rRNA". It matches the Rfam family "Eukaryotic small subunit ribosomal RNA", at positions 201 to 921 of the family's 1831-position model. The record is from RNAcentral.